AGUAGUCUGCCUCGCCACGGAACAUAAAGGUGGCGAAUGGAACCUUCUGUUCCUCCGUGCAUCCCAAGACAUCGAAUAUCUUGGUAAUUUGCUUGACCCAUGUUUCUGCCAUGAUCGAAUCUGGCUUUCCCUUAAAUUCCGGUGGUCCCAACUCUUUGAACUGCUUGGCUGUGACAACUCGUAAAUUGCUAUCAUUUCCUCCU
This 203-nucleotide long non-coding RNA is filed under the name Panax ginseng (ginseng). RNAcentral describes it as "long non-coding RNA (PGIN_LNC003102)". Lineage: Eukaryota; Viridiplantae; Streptophyta; Magnoliopsida; Apiales; Araliaceae. The record is from RNAcentral.